RNAcentral lists this ribosomal RNA (63 nucleotides) under Trichoderma harzianum. RNAcentral's name for it is "partial 28S ribosomal RNA". The record is from RNAcentral. Lineage: Eukaryota; Fungi; Ascomycota; Sordariomycetes; Hypocreales; Hypocreaceae.
GUUGACCUCGGAUCAGGUAGGAAUACCCGCUGAACUUAAGCAUAUCAAUAGGCAGGGAGGGAA